Molecule: long non-coding RNA, 203 nt
Filed under: Mytilus galloprovincialis (Mediterranean mussel)
Lineage: Eukaryota; Metazoa; Mollusca; Bivalvia; Mytilida; Mytilidae
Source: RNAcentral
CCCUAAUUAUCUCAAGAUUCAUAUACUCCUUUACAACCAUGGUAUGUUAAGAGCUCACAUCAAUAUAAAGCGCAACGUAACAUUCAGCCAAUGCCAGAUGGACCAAUUUUCAAAUCCCAAGAGGUCGUGAUGGAGUAUCAAUUUUAUGGCCAACAGAAUGGAGACCUUUUAACAAAAACUAGAUGAUGGAAACAAUAGAAUAG